This 465-nucleotide ribosomal RNA is filed under the name Vreelandella stevensii. Its description in RNAcentral is "partial 16S ribosomal RNA". It matches the Rfam family "Bacterial small subunit ribosomal RNA", at positions 338 to 795 of the family's 1533-position model. Lineage: Bacteria; Pseudomonadati; Pseudomonadota; Gammaproteobacteria; Oceanospirillales; Halomonadaceae. The record is from RNAcentral.
CCUACGGGUGGCAGCAGUGGGGAAUAUUGGACAAUGGGCGAAAGCCUGAUCCAGCCAUGCCGCGUGUGUGAAGAAGGCCUUCGGGUUGUAAAGCACUUUCAGUGGGGAAGAAAGCCUUGGGGCUAAUACCCUCGAGGAAGGACAUCACCCACAGAAGAAGCACCGGCUAACUCCGUGCCAGCAGCCGCGGUAAUACGGAGGGUGCGAGCGUUAACCGGAAUUACUGGGCGUAAAGCGCGCGUAGGCGGUCUGAUAAGCCGGUUGUGAAAGCCCCGGGUUCAACCUGGGAACGGCAUCCGGAACUGUCAGGCUAGAGUGCAGGAGAGGAAGGUAGAAUUCCCGGUGUAGCGGUGAAAUGCGUAGAGAUCGGGAGGAAUACCAGUGGCGAAGGCGGCCUUCUGGACUGACACUGACGCUGAGGUGCGAAAGCGUGGGUAGCAAACAGGAUUAGAUACCCUAGUAGUC